GGGGGCUCGAGUUGAUUCGGGCUCCGGCCCGAUCCUCCCACCCUUUGUGUACCUACCUCUGUUGCUUUGGCGGGCCGCGGUUCUCCGCGGCCGCCCCCCUCCCCGGGGGGUGGCCAGCGCCCGCCAGAGGACCAUCAAACUCCAGUCAGUAAACGAUGCAGUCUGAAAAACAUUUAAUAAACUAAAACUUUCAACAACGGAUCUCUUGGUUCUGGCAUCGAUGAAGAACGCAGCGAAAUGCGAUAAGUAAUGUGAAUUGCAGAAUUCAGUGAAUCAUCGAAUCUUUGAACGCACAUUGCGCCCUUUGGUAUUCCGAAGGGCAUGCCUGUUCGAGCGUCAUUACAACCCUCAAGCUCUGCUUGGUAUUGGGCACCGUCCUUUGCGGGCGCGCCUCAAAGACCUCGGCGGUGGCGUCUUGCCUCAAGCGUAGUAGAACAUACAUCUCGCUUCGGAGCGCAGGGCGUCGCCCGCCGGACGAACCUUCUGAACUUUUCUCAAGGUUGACCUCGGAUCAGGUAGGGAUACCCGCUGAACUUAAGCAUAUCAAUAAGCGGAGGAA
Molecule: ribosomal RNA, 559 nt
Filed under: Botryosphaeria dothidea
Lineage: Eukaryota; Fungi; Ascomycota; Dothideomycetes; Botryosphaeriales; Botryosphaeriaceae
Description: eukaryotic LSU rRNA
Rfam family: 5.8S ribosomal RNA (bases 186-339)
Source: RNAcentral